RNAcentral lists this ribosomal RNA (493 nucleotides) under uncultured bacterium. Its description in RNAcentral is "bacterial SSU rRNA". It matches the Rfam family "Bacterial small subunit ribosomal RNA", at positions 28 to 507 of the family's 1533-position model. The record is from RNAcentral.
GACGAACGCUGGCGGUGUGCUUAACACAUGCAAGUGGAGCGACGAACCAGGGCUUGCCCUGGGGCAGAGCCGCGAACGGGUGAGUAACACGUGGGUAACCUACCCCGAUGACUGGGACAACCCGAGGAAACUCGGGCUAAUACCGGAUGUGCUCCUCCCUCACCAGAGGGUUGAGUGAAGGAAGCUUCGGCCUCCGCAUUGGGAGGGGCCCGCGGCCCAUUAGCUUGUUGGUGGGGUAACGGCCUACCAAGGCUGCGAUGGGUAGCUGGUCUGAGAGGACGAUCAGCCACACUGGGACUGAGACACGGCCCAGACUCCUACGGGAGGCAGCAGUGGGGAAUCUUGCGCAAUGCGCGACAGCGUGACGCAGCAACACCGCGUGGGGGAAGAAGGCCUUCGGGUUGUAAACCCCUUUCAGGAGGGACGAAGGCCGGCCGGUGAACAGCCGUGCCGGUUGACGGUACCUCCACAAGAAGCCCCGGCUAACUACGUG